GAUGAACGCUGGCGGCGUGCUUAACACAUGCAAGUCGAACGAAGCAUUUAGAACAGAUUACUUCGGUUUGAAGUUCUUUAUGACUGAGUGGCGGACGGGUGAGUAACGCGUGGGUAACCUGCCUUGUACUGGGGGAUAGCAGCUGGAAACGGCUGGUAAUACCGCAUAAGCGCACAAUGUUGCAUGACAUGGUGUGAAAAACUCCGGUGGUAUAAGAUGGACCCGCGUCUGAUUAGCUAGUUGGUGAGAUAACAGCCCACCAAGGCGACGAUCAGUAGCCGACCUGAGAGGGUGACCGGCCACAUUGGGACUGAGACACGGCCCAGAAUCCUACGGGAGGCAGCAGUGGGGAAUAUUGCACAAUGGAGGAAACGCUGAUGCAGCGACGCCGCGUGAGUGAAGAAGUAAUUCGUGAUGUAAAGCUCUAUCAGCAGGGAAGAUAGUGACGGUACCUGACUAAGAAGCUCCGGCUAAAUACGUG
RNAcentral lists this ribosomal RNA (481 nucleotides) under uncultured bacterium. RNAcentral describes it as "partial 16S ribosomal RNA". It matches the Rfam family "Bacterial small subunit ribosomal RNA", at positions 28 to 507 of the family's 1533-position model. The record is from RNAcentral.